RNAcentral lists this ribosomal RNA (537 nucleotides) under beta proteobacterium zo32. RNAcentral describes it as "bacterial SSU rRNA". It matches the Rfam family "Bacterial small subunit ribosomal RNA", at positions 372 to 902 of the family's 1533-position model. Lineage: Bacteria; Pseudomonadati; Pseudomonadota; Betaproteobacteria. The record is from RNAcentral.
UGGACGCAAGUCUGAUCCAGCCAUUCCGCGUGCAGGACGAAGGCCUUCGGGUUGUAAACUGCUUUUGUACAGAACGAAAAGGUCUCUAUUAAUACUAGGGGCUCAUGACGGUACUGUAAGAAUAAGCACCGGCUAACUACGUGCCAGCAGCCGCGGUAAUACGUAGGGUGCAAGCGUUAAUCGGAAUUACUGGGCGUAAAGCGUGCGCAGGCGGUUAUAUAAGACAGAUGUGAAAUCCCCGGGCUCAACCUGGGAACUGCAUUUGUGACUGUAUAGCUGGAGUGCGGCAGAGGGGGAUGGAAUUCCGCGUGUAGCAGUGAAAUGCGUAGAUAUGCGGAGGAACACCGAUGGCGAAGGCAAUCCCCUGGGCCUGCACUGACGCUCAUGCACGAAAGCGUGGGGAGCAAACAGGAUUAGAUACCCUGGUAGUCCACGCCCUAAACGAUGUCAACUGGUUGUUGGGUCUUCACUGACUCAGUAACGAAGCUAACGCGUGAAGUUGACCGCCUGGGGAGUACGGCCGCAAGGUUGAAACUC